This 2497-nucleotide long non-coding RNA is filed under the name Homo sapiens (human). Its description in RNAcentral is "non-protein coding lnc-GDPD5-4:1". The record is from RNAcentral. Lineage: Eukaryota; Metazoa; Chordata; Mammalia; Primates; Hominidae.
AGCAUUUUCCACGUGAUUAUCAACUUUACAGCCAUCAUUUCAAUGUCUGUACUAUUCCACAUGGUGGAUGAACUAGAGUCUACUCAUCUUUUAUUGUUGGGACAUUUAGGCUUUUUGCAAAUAAAAAUAUUUAUCAUAGCAGUUCCUUCCCUCCCCUGAUGGCCUCAUAAGCCUGUGGUCCUAGGACUUGACUCUUUCCCAAAUUAGGGUGCCCACGCUUCCUUAUUCCCUGACCACAUUCUUCCAGCAAACCCUCCUGGAGCUGAGUGAUAGGCACUCAUGGUGGGAGGCCCCAUUUAACACCAUCCAUGCAGCACUGAUUUGUUAUAGGCUGCUGUGGGGGGAGGGGGUCUCCAAGGAAACAGUUGAGGAAACAGAGAGUGAGGUGAGCAGGCAGCUAAAUACAGAAACUGUUAAGGGCAUCAGAAACACCCAUGGGCAUGUGGACAGCUGUAGAAAUAGGGCUGCAAGACACCUCAGCUAGAAUCUAAUGACCUGAGAGCACCAGGAAAAGAGAAGGGAGUUGACAGUGUAUGCAGCUAGGAACACAUCCCCGUCGGGGGUCUGCUCUGAGGACCCUCUAUAACCCUAAAGCAGACAGUACCUCUCCCAGCUCAGUAUGAUGUGCUCUAUGAUUAAUCUAACAUGAGGCGACUGUGUUCUCCAUCAAAGGAGAGACUGUUCCUGUGUGUGUGUGUUGAGGGGUGAGGGGAGGGGGGAACACCAGGGAGACCUUUAAGGAUGGGGUGGCAUUUGAGCAGGACCUCGAAAGAUGAGGAGGCUUUUGACAAAGGGAGUCCAGAGGCAGAGGACAGAACAUAGAACUAGAUGAAGAGCCCUUGAGGGCAGGGACGGUGGACCUCCCCCUCCCUCCCAGAUGCUGGCUCAGGCCUGGUGGACACUGGCAAAUGUCGUUUUGAAUGAGUGCCCCCGGGGGGAGAGGUGGCAGCAUGUGGGCGGUGGGGCAUUUGUUGGGGGGGGCGGUGAGUCUUCACCACUGCUGCUCUUGCCCCUCAGGUGCAGUGCUUUGACCCCAAGGAGGACCGGUGGAGCCUGCGGUCACCAGCACCCUUCUCACAGCGGUGUCUCGAGGCUGUCUCCCUUGAGGACACCAUCUAUGUCAUGGGGGGUCUCAUGAGCAAAAUCUUCACCUAUGAUCCAGGCACAGAUGUGUGGGGGGAGGCAGCUGUCCUCCCCAGCCCUGUGGUAAGUGGAGGCUUCAAGGCAGGAGAGCGGAACCCGCUUCUAAGGCUCUGGAUCUUGGAGCUUGUGAAUCUUGUGACUCCAUCCUAGGUGGUUUUAUUAUACAUCACUCUCUAGCUCAUCCUCACAGUGAUAGUGAACCAUGCAUUUCACAGAUGAGGAGACUGGCCUUAGAGAGGUUCAGCACCUGGCCCAGGCCAACAACUAGGCCCUGUUAAGGCAGAGCCUAGAACCCUGCAGUCCCAAGUGCUAUAGCUUUGAGUGGGGAUUUGGUCCAAAUGACCCUGUGGUCUCUCCUGCCCCGAAGGCCACUGCUAGUAACCAAUCAUGAGGUAAGAUGUGGGGAAGGGAGUUGCUAAGGUCUGCUCUAGUGAUAUCAGAGCAGGGAGGCCCAAGUCCUGGAAGCUCUGGCCCCUGCAAUUCCCUGCCUCCCCUACCUUCUUCUCCAUCCCCUGAAACUCCAGAGACUACACAGAUAUGGUUGGACUGGAGGUCUCUGCCAGUUCUGACCUUUGGUGACCUUAGAGGUGAGAUUUCUGGCUUGAGUCUGAGAUUCUAAGAUGGCGGCAGUCGAGAUUAUUGUUAUUGGUGUGCUUACCACAUUCCAGGCUCUAUGUAAAAUGCUUUAUAUGCUUAACUUCCAUUAACUGUUAAGGGAACCCUGUGAAGAAGGCACUUUAGUUCUUCUCCCUUUGCCGAUGAGGAAACUGAGGUCCAGAGAGGUUAAGUGACUUGCCUAACGCCAUUCACUGAAUAAGGGUCAAGCUAGAGCUGGAACUCAGGUCCAUCCAGUUUCCUGCCUCUCUACAGUCCAGAUUGCCUGUUCACAGUCUGUGGGUCAAGGUUCUAUUAUCUGGCCUGGCCAGGCAGGGACAGAGGAAGCCCCAGGCUGGACCUGAUAGUUGUCUUUCUGUUUGUCCACCCAGGAAAGCUGUGGAGUCACUGUGUGUGACGGGAAGGUCCACAUCCUUGGCGGGCGGGAUGAUCGCGGAGAAAGCACCGAUAAGGUCUUCACCUUUGACCCCAGCAGUGGGCAGGUGGAGGUCCAGCCAUCCCUGCAGCGCUGCACCAGCUCCCACGGCUGUGUCACCAUCAUCCAGAGCUUGGGCAGGUGAUUCAGAUUUGGACAGCCUGAGCCAGGAGGCGGAGAGGCAGGCGGAGCUCAGAUGCACACUCUGCUCCCUCAUGGCACCUCCACGCAAACAGCCCUUAACUUAAUGGUCCCUUUUCUUGUAUAAAUAAAAUCUUGUUGGGUCUGUGUUCCAGCUGCAGUCUGCCCUGCCUGGAGAUGGAA